CCCUUAGAUGUCCGGGGCUGCACGCGCGCUACACUGACUGGCUCAGCGUGUGCCUACCCUACGCCGGCAGGCGCGGGUAACCCGUUGAACCCCAUUCGUGAUGGGGAUCGGGGAUUGCAAUUAUUCCCCAUGAACGAGGAAUUCCCAGUAAGUGCGGGUCAUAAGCUUGCGUUGAUUAAGUCCCUGCCCUUUGUACACACCGCCCGUCGCUCCUACCGAUUGGGUGUGCUGGUGAAAUGUUCGGAUCGGCCGUUUGUCGCGGUUUCCGCGUCAUGUGGCUGAGAAGUUCAUUAAACCCUCCCACCUAGAGGAAGGAGAAGUCGUAACA
RNAcentral lists this ribosomal RNA (328 nucleotides) under uncultured eukaryote. RNAcentral describes it as "partial 18S ribosomal RNA". It matches the Rfam family "Eukaryotic small subunit ribosomal RNA", at positions 1470 to 1796 of the family's 1831-position model. The record is from RNAcentral.